GGUGAGAUGGCCGAGUUGGUUAUGGCGCCAGGUUAAGGUUACCUUAACACUAAUUCCUGGUCACGAAAGUGGCGUGGGUUCGAGUCCCACUCUCAUCA
Molecule: transfer RNA, 98 nt
Filed under: Zopfia rhizophila CBS 207.26
Lineage: Eukaryota; Fungi; Ascomycota; Dothideomycetes; Zopfiaceae
Also listed under: 2 other names
Rfam family: tRNA
About the family: Transfer RNA (tRNA) molecules are approximately 80 nucleotides in length.
Source: Rfam by way of RNAcentral